GCCUACGGGAGGCAGCAGUGAGGAAUAUUGGUCAAUGGUCGGGAGACUGAACCAGCCAAGCCGCGUGAGGGAGGAAGGUACAGAGUAUCGUAAACCUCUUUUGUCAGGGAACAAAGGCGGGGACGUGUCCCCGGAUGAGUGUACCUGAAGAAAAAGCAUCGGCUAACUCCGUGCCAGCAGCCGCGGUAAUACGGAGGAUGCGAGCGUUAUCCGGAUUUAUUGGGUUUAAAGGGUGCGCAGGCGGUCUGUUAAGUCAGCGGUCAAAGCCCGGGGCGCAACCCCGGCCCGCCGUUGAAACUGGCAGU
This 305-nucleotide ribosomal RNA is filed under the name uncultured bacterium. RNAcentral describes it as "bacterial SSU rRNA". It matches the Rfam family "Bacterial small subunit ribosomal RNA", at positions 337 to 640 of the family's 1533-position model. The record is from RNAcentral.